Setaria italica (foxtail millet) is the source of this 6560-nucleotide RNA transcript. RefSeq lists it as uncharacterized. The record is from RefSeq and is a predicted model, not a curated record. Lineage: Eukaryota; Viridiplantae; Streptophyta; Magnoliopsida; Poales; Poaceae. The transcript has 3 exons.
CGUAGACUCAUCCGUUCAACGCAGGCCAACGCGUGAGACCUACGCGUCAUCCUUGCCCGCGCACGAAAUCGCCUGCAUCUGCUUGGUCACGCCUCGGUCUUGUCCUCACCUCGCACGCCAUCACCUCGUCGCCGCCUCCUCACCCUCUCCUCCUCGCGCCGUCGCCGGCCUUCUCCGAGCCAACGUUCCGCCUCAUCUUACAAAUCGGGGGCCUUUGGCUGCCCUGUGCUGGAUCCGCCGCCGCCAGCUCCAACUUCGUUCCUUUUGCCGUCAGCAACCACGAUGGUGCGGGCGGCGGGCCAGGCUGGUCCGAGCGGCGCUGGUCGUCGCCUCGGAGGCGCGGGCGAUGUUGGUGGUGCAGUCAGUCGGCAUCGACGGGAUGCCCCGCCCGGUCUGUUGGUGGUGCGAGCGGCACAUUCAACAGGACCGACCGGUCGGGCCAUGGUCGAGCGGCGCGGCCACGAUAAGUGACGACGAGGUGAAGAGAGCACUGGCCGGUGGCUCACACCGCCAUCUUUGCCAUGCAUGAGGUCCAUGACCGCUCGCAGCUGUUGAGAUCGAGGUUCGUCCCCUUCCAUCAUCCUCUGGUGCGCCUGCCCGUGCUGUGCUUCCUGUUCUGUGCGCUGCCACUGAGCUCACCAAGGCACCAUGCCCUUGUGCCAGGAGCGCGUUGCCGACGGCCAUGCUUGAUGCCCAUCGACUCAGCCACCGUCCUCAUGGGUCAUGGCCGAGGUGAUUUUGUUGUUCUUGCUGCUGCCAGUACUUGCACUUUAGGUGCUUGAUUAAAUGACCGUUACAGAUGAUAAAUUCAUUGCAUCUUUUUUCAAUACAUAUCCCCGAUGGCCUUUGUAAUCAGUAUGAGAAAUUCAUAGGACACGUUGAGAUCUCUAUUAUUCUAUUUUGCAGGUAAAUGUUCCUUUCAGUUUCAUAGCCAUGCAUAUUUUUGCCUUCCAUUUCUGAAAGCCCUCCUUGAGGUCUGCUGCUCAGCCAGAUAACGAUAUCUUGGUGCUGCUUCUAUGAGAGUGUGAAAGGGCAACUUUUCUUCAAUAAUUGGAAACUAUUCCAACUGUUAUGGUGAUAUAGCGAACCAACCAAUUGAACUGGUGUCCUCUUAAUAAAUUUGUGGCUGCAGUACAUGACUCCGUACCUUCACUUUUGGCAUGUGCAGCAAGCUCUGUUUCAGUCUGAGUGCUCUGUGAACCACUCAGCCUAUCUAUUGGAUGAUGUUCUGGAGUGAGUUGUAUUUUCCACAUGUUAGAAGGAUACUCACAAACUAGCACUAUCUAAAACUUUGCCUUUCAAGUUGAUGGAGACUCACAGAAUUUUAUGGAAGAAUGUUUGAGAUAAUUGCCUACAAAUCAUAAAUUUCUAGGUUUCUCUUUACAGAAAAGUUUGUUACAAGGUCCAUUAGCACAAUCUGUGGCAUUCAGUGCAACUAUUGAUAUGUUAUAUCAUCUGUUCCCAAAGACCUGAUGAAAUACUCCUUUGUUUCAUUGCUUACUAAAUAGAUAUGGAAAAUUAUCUGUAUAUGUAAAAUGGGUUAGAUGCUCUCAUUGGAUGUCUUUUACAUAUUUAUUUGUAUGGAGUGAAAUGAGCUGUUCUAAUUAUAUAUCUUGCCUUUCCUGUCAUUUCAAUAUUUGUUCAUUUGAGUAAUAUCUUUUUUUUUUCAUGUAAUGAGCCUUCAUAAACUAUGUCUAUUCAGAUAUCAAAGUUUUGCUAAUUAAUGUUCAAUUUUUCUGUAUAAGGUAUAUAUCUUAGUGUCCUUAAAUUGGAUAAUUCAUAGUUUUCUUGGCUAUGCUUAUUUGUAUGGAUAUAUUUGAAGGAUGCUGAAAAAAAUCAUAUUAAGACCACUCGGCUAUGCUUAUUUGCUGCCACUAAUGUAUGUUAAUGAUGAAACUACUUUUCUUUCUUUCUUGACGUUCCUUCCUUUUUCUCAUUCAUUCAUAUCGUCAAUGAUCAACUUCUCUUUCAACAUUCGUUUCAAAUUGUGUGCAGGAUGGUUGUCUACUCCUAAAUUAUUUAUUUUUGUGUCUUUCAGGUAAGCUCCAUAUUUCUUUUUCUUUGCGCCUACACACUUCAUUCCAGCAGAGUAAUUGCUACAGUGUUAAGCUCAUGACCUUCCUUUGUUAAAACCCAGUAUGCUGUUUAUUUUCAUUUGCUAAAGUUUAAUGGUAGGAAAAAGAGAAAAGUUGAUACGGAUGUUGUCCCGAUCUUCAUGACGUAGGAUCCCGAACAAGAUAACUAGCUAUAGAACAGCCAAGAUAACUUGUUGCAAGCAGCGAUAACUAGUGCAACCUGUCAAAUAAAACUUGAAGCCAACCACCAUCUUUUUUUUUCUAGAAUACGCAGGAGAACUGCGCAUCAUUCAAUUAAGAGGAAGGUAAAAACGAUGUUUGUACAACGCGGGCUAUUAACCGAGCACUAGCACACGGUAGUGGAAAUAGACAGAGAUUACAUUUGUUAAAAGGGGGGCGUCUACUAGCAGAAUUUAAGACAUAGAAUUUGCAAUGCUAGCUAAUGAUUAGGAGGCUUCCAACCAAAAGCUUCCAUGUUUCGGGCACCACUUUGAGCCCAAAGCGAUGCUUCUUCGACAAUGAGCGGCAUGAGCUGUUGCGGUGUUCUAGCAACGUCAGUUGCAAAGGCUCGGCCGUUCCUCUCUUUCCAUAACCUCCAGCAGACCAGCAUGACUGUAGAAUCCAGGCCUCUAGCUUUGAUGUUGGUCAUAUUAGCACGGAUAGACAACCACCAAUCAAUCAAGUUGGAAUUUGGGGUGAGGUUCGGUAACUGGUUGUUAGUCAUUAGCCCAACCUGAAGCCACACCUGACGGGAGUAGUCGCAAUGACUGAAUAGGUGAUCCACCGUUUCAGCUUCUUGGCCACAGAGAUUGCACUCAUCAGUAUUCUGCAACCCAUGCCGUUUGCGCCUUGCGGCGGUCCAGAUCCUACCCUUGGCCGCGAGGCAAAUGAAGAACUUAACUUUCAAGGGUGCCCAAGUGCACCACACGGUCCUGAAGAUCGGCGAAACAGUGGAGCCACGGAAGAACAUAUGGUAUGCCGAUCGGGCGGAGUAUGUCCUGUAGGCUUCCCAACGCCAGGAGAUGACAUCCUCGACGCCGGCCUGCAAAUGGACAGUGGCAACCGUAUGCCAAAGCUGGACAUACUGCCUAAUGCCGCUGACUGUAGCUCGUCCGACAAUAUCGCGAAUCCACACCUUGUCUGUCAGGGCAGCCGCUACGGUUCUGGUUCUUCUUGUUUUGGGUUUGACCAUAGCACAAAGGUCUGGUGCGAGGAAGCAUGGUGAGGAGUCCCCCAGCCAGUUGUCCUCCCAGAAAAGAGCCGCAUUACCAUCACCUAGCUGAACUAGGAUCGAUGCUUGGAAGAUACUUCGCAGGUUCUUGUCUCUGUCAUAAUCAGUGCUUAAUUGGAUCCACUGGCAACUACCAUCUUUAACCGGCAACCUGAAUCGAGGAUUCGCCCAACUACACUCUCAAAGAAUCAACCAACACAACCUGGAAUCAAUGGAUCAGGAGCACCAAUUGGGAGCUGAUGACACGGCCGCUUCUGUAAUCCCUCAAGGAAAUCACAAGAGCAAAGGGGUAGAGAUCCCUCUUUGAAUUUGUUAGCACAUAGCUGAACAAAAGGGGUUCUAUUUCAUUAUCAGAAAGUCUUGUGUAAUCUCUAAGAUACAUGGGGUAUUUAUACUAGGAACAUUCCUCCAAGUUGGGUGUGAAAUUGACUUGAAGUUUCUGGAGAUAAGCUAGCUAAAAGGUCAUCCCGAGAAGCAACUCCCGUCAGUUCUGGUGCAUCUCCUCAACUUCUGGCAGUGGUCAUUAAAAUGACCAUUACUCCAUAUUGGGAAGUCCAAAUGACGAGCUGUUUGUUGGGUUGGAAACUAGACUUGAGUGAGCUUCCAAUCAUGUGUAUCAUGUACCGCGAGUCCUUGCAGAUUGGUACAGACUUGCACGAGAAGUUGAAGGUGUAACCUGUCUCAACUCAAGGUCCUGCGCAUGUAACUUGUCUCAGCUUGGACAGCCACCUUGUUGGUCUUCAUGUAACCUAUCCUUGACUUCACAUAAGCCUCUUCUUUUUUCAUGUAACCUUUCUCCACCGAGUGUCAUCUAUGACCUCAUGUGUAAACCUUAAAAUAAUAAGAGUACAACACUUAGAUAGUAAACAAUUCUCAUUCGUGUGUAACUUAAAUUCAGCAAGGAGAGAAUUCACCUCUUGUUGUAGCUUCUUGGCACGACUUCGUGUAACCGGCCCUUGGUUUACAUUGUUUGGUGUGGCUUGUUCAUCCACUUGUGUAACUGGUUCAUGGUUUACGUAUGAUGUUUUAGGAUUGGGGGGGGGGGGGGGUGUCCGUAUCAUCCUCCCCCUCUUGAAAAGGAGUCAUCCUCUACUCUAAUUCUUCUAAGCCCAUGAAUGGUUAUAGAUCAGCAACAUUGAAUGUUGUACUGACACCAUAAUCUUCAGGAAGGUCAAUCUUGUAUGCAUUGUCAUUGAUUCGUGCCAUCACUUUGAAUGGACCAUCUCCUCGUGGCAUCAACUUUGAUUUACACCUUUCAGGAAAGCGAUCCUUACGUGGAUGUACCCAAACUAGAUCACCCUGUUCAAAUAUCACUUUCUUCUGAUGCUUGUUUGCCUUGGCUGCAAAAUACUUCACCUUCUUAUCAAGUUCUUCCUUGGUCUUCUCAUGUAUCUUCUUUAUGUAUGCAGCACGCUUGGAGGCUUCCAUGUUACUUCGUUCCUGCAAAGGUAAUGGCAACAAAUCUAUGGGAGUAUUUGGUUUGAAACUAUAAACAAUUUUGAAUGGACACAUUUUGGUUGUAGAGUGUAUUGCCCUAUUAUAUGCAAAUUCAACAUGCGGCAAACACUCUUCCCACUCCUUCAAAUUGUUUUUUUAUCACAGCUCGCAAUAGCAUUGAAAGUGUUCGAUUCACCACCUCAGUUUGUCCAUCUAUUUGCGGAUGACAUGUGGUAGAAAACAGCAGCUUCGUUCCAAGUUUUGCCCAAAGUGUCUUCCAAAAAUAACUCACAAACUUAGUGUCACGAUCUGAAAAAAUGGUCCAUGGCAUUCUGUGCAACCUCACAAUUUUCCUAAAAAAUAAAGUAGCUAUGUGGGAAGCAUCAUCACUUUUAUUACAGGGUAUGAAAUGCGCCAUUUUUGAGAACCUAUCAACAACCAUAAAAAUGGAAUCCCUCCCCCUCUUUGUCCUAGGUAAACCCAAAACAAAAUCAAUGCUAAUGCCCUCCCAAUGAACACUAGGAAUAAGCAAUGGAGUGUAUAAGCCAUGAGUGUUCUGCUUUGACUUAGCUUUGUGGCAUGUGACACAACACUGCACAAGUCUCGCAACGUCUCUUCUCAUCUUUGGCCAAUAGAAGUGGUCGCCCAGCAUCUCAUAGGUCUUAUCUCGCCCAAAAUGACCCAUCAAACCACCUGCAUGUGCUUCCUACAGCAACAAAAGUCUAACAGAACAAUUUGGAACACAUAAUUUUGUUAGCUCGAAAUAAAAAUCCAUCAUGCAUGUGGUAUUUUUCCCAUCCUUUCCCUGUUGUACAUUUGGCAUAAGGUUCUUAAAAUUCAUAAACAACAGAGUAUAAUUUUUUUAUGCUCUCUAUUCCCAUCACUUUUACCUCAAGUUGAUUCAACAGAAUAUUUUUUGCGGGAUAAAGCAUCAGUAACAAUGUUAUCUUUACCUAUCUCAUACUUCACAAUGUAUGGGAAAGUCUCAAUAAAUUCAACCCACUUGGCAUGUCGACGGUUCAGUUUAGCUUAGCCUUUCAAGUGUUGCAAAGCUUCAUGAUCUGAAUGGAUAACAAAUUCUUUUGGUCACAAAUAAUGUUGCCAAGUCUCAAAUACUCUUACUCUUACCAAAGUGUACAAUUCCUUAUCAUACACGGAGUAAUUCAGCUGUGCUCCUCCCAACUUCUCGCUGAAGUAUGCAACUGGUUUUGCAUCUUUCAUGAGCACUCCUCCAAUUCCAAUCCCACUUGCAUCACAUUCAACCUCAAAGGUUUUUGUGAAAUUUGGCAACACAAGUAGGGGUGCUUUCGUCAACCGUUUCUUCAAUUCAUGGAAAGCUUUUUCUUGUGGCUCACCCCAUUUGAACACAACACCUUUCUUCAUCAACUCGUUUAAUGGAGCAGUGACGGUGUUGGCCAUUCCUUGAUUGCUGCAACCUUGGAUUCGCCCACUUGAAUUUCUUGUCCAGAGACAACAAAACCAAGAAACACAACUUGAUGUGUGCAAAUGGUGCACUUCUCAAGAUUGGUGCGGUACAUGGACGAUUGGGCGAUGCAGCCCCUGGAAUGAGAUCAAUUUGAUGCUUAAUGCCUCACAAUGGUGGCAGUCCAGCAAGGGUUUUCUCUGGAAAGACAUCCUUGUAGUCCUGCAAAAGAUGUGAAAUAACACUAGGAAGAGAUCUUAUGUUGUUAGCUGAAAGCAAUUUGUCUUUGUACACAAGUACAAUGAAUGUUUGGUAUGGGUUGCGCCUCACAUCUCUCGAUUUGGUGACUAACAUUAUCAGAUUAUUCCCCUCUCUUUUCUUUUGAUCUCUCUCA